UGAGAGCUGCGGCAAGAUGGAGACCUGAGGCAACACACAGGAUGGUGUCCAGUGUACGGCCUAAGGGAUUUAUUCCUAGCUGACGCCGGAAAAAGGCCAUGACAAAGCCCCACCAUGGCUACUGCGGUGGACACGGAGGCCGAGGACCGACGGACUGACUGGGAGGAGUUCUGUGAUAACCAGGCCAGGGUGGCCGCCGCCGACUUCGUUAAGUCCUGGAGAGUGUUUGUGGCACUCCAAGCUCAGUUCAGGGAGUUGGAACACAAGGAACUGGCUCAGAAGUUUGCGGAGCUAUUUCCAGGGCAUUUAGAACAAGCAUUACUUAAUCCUCCCAACGGUGUAAAGGUCCGUAAUGGUGUUGGCAGUGUGGCCACUACAAGGUCUGCCUCGGCUGAUGACAUUCUGGAGGUGACAGCAGUAGUUAGUGACGAGGGGGGCGAGUCCCCGUCCCCUAAAGUGUCUCACAAGCCUUUCUUUAGGAGACUGUCUUUUAAGGGACUGAAGAAGGGUAAAAUAUUCUUAAAACAGCAUUCUGACGAGGUGGAGUUAUCUCCCCACCACGACAAGCAGUUGAAGAAUGAGCGGCACAAGGCCCGCACGGUGAAGCUGGCCGUGGAGUGCGUACGGGAGGGAACCGUGCACCUCUUAGCUGGAGACACUCAGGAGGGCCGGCCACAUUGGUUGAAGUGUCGCAUGGCUCUUGUUAAAGUCGCUGCUGGACAUAUGCUUGAAUUUUAUGCACCUCCUAAGAGUAUGAAGCCCCGUACUGGUGUAUUCUGCAUAUCAAUAAAUGAGGCAAGGGAGACUACUGAUUUGGAGAUGCCAGACCUUAGAAACACAUUUGUUAUCAAGCCAUCGUGGGCAUCAUCAAGGAUGUUUGCAUUUCCACACAUUUGCCAGGCAGAUAGUGGCAAUGAGUGGGUAGUGGAGGCUCAGGACCAGGAGGACAUGAAGGUGUGGCUGACGACCAUCGUUGCUCAUUGUUGUUCCACCGAUAAAGAACAGUCAAAGAAUUAUGAGCUUCGACCAGCAAUGUAUAGUGUGAAGAAUGAGUCAUCACAGUCCCUGGCCGCCACGGUAGGAGGUGGUGAGGUGAUAGAACGUCCUGAACAUCCUCCAGACCUUCCCCCAAGAGUCCCUGGUACUACCUCCCCGAGCUCACAACAGGCAUUUAUUAUAGCUGCAAGACAAAGCAACCUGUCAAUGCACUCCAGAUCUCAAAAUGGACUUGGAGAUUACUCAAGCGAGGACACUGUCAAUGUGCGAGUACCUUCAGAUGUGGACUUUUACUCCAGCCUACGAGACUACCCUUGGUUUCACGGUACACUCUCUCGUUGUGAUGCUGCCUCUGCCGUCCUUCAGGAGGCUGUGGCAGGACAUGGUGUCUUUCUUGUUAGACAAAGUGAAACAAGGAAAGGGGAGUAUGUUCUUACCUUCAACUAUCAAGGGAGAGCAAAGCAUUUAAGAAUGACCAUCAACCCAGAUGGUGCGUGCCGGGUCCAACAUUUGUCCUUUGCCACAAUAUUUGACCUGCUGGAGUACUUCCGUGACAACCACAUCCCUCUAGAGUCUGGUGGUACCUCAGAUGUAACUCUCUCAGAGUUUGUCAUUGCCUCUGAUUAUUCUGCUCGUAAUACAGGAGCAGGGCAAGGAGGAGCAGAGCGCAGACCACCAAACCUCCCAGACACGAGAGAGGUUGCAACUCAUGGAGGAUCAGUUCGCAUGACAACUACAGUCCUUGAACGACUUCAGUAUGAACAGAGUAACUCAGGUGGGUCUACAGGAAGAGCGGUGGAAAAUACCUACACAUAUACAUGAAGACAUGAUUAUUAUGCCCCAGAAAAGAAGUGAGUGAUGCAAGAUAAUGUGACUUAAAAUGAAAAAUGCCAAUGAAAGAGUAGGAUGAACCGUGGCAGGAACAUUAUGGAAAUAUUGCUGUGAGAAGGUGUGAGAAUAUGAACAUAGAUAACGUCUUUUAUCUCACUGUUUGAUGCUGCGAAGGGCUCGGACGUCUUGUACUGUUAUUUCUGCUCGGUACACCAGAGAACUCCAUGGUCAGUCACUCAGUUACCCGUACAGUACUGUUUAUUUCAUUAACCGAAUUGUAAUAGGCAAGCAGCACAUUUUGUGAUGCCACUGAGCAAGAAUUUAUUUUAUAGGUAUUAGUUCUCAGUGAUUAAGGCAUCAUGUUGGUACUGUUCUAUAGACUGUUAGGUUAACAUUGAGGGUGCAGUUUAGUGGUUCUGUAUUUGUGCUGGUUGAGGAGUGCUGAUCACUAAGUGUGUUAUAUGUUUUGAAAUGUACUGUACAGACCUAAGCUAUGAGUGUGUAUGUGUGUUGAGCUUAAAUGUAUACAGAGUGUUUUUGUGCAUGUUUGAGUGUGUGUGUGUGUGUGUGUGUUUACAUAUAUACAUUGCAGUUUUUUAUUUUUCCGUAAAAUGACUUGCAUCUGGCAGGGAACUUUUUGUCCACUUAUCAGUAAUUGCUUGAGACCAAAAAGUUUGGCUAAUGAAUUUAAGGAAAUAGUAAAGAGUCACAAGUAAGGAUGAACAAAUUCUUCAGUUUAUAAGGUGUAUGUUGGCUAAUUUCAUUUUUGAGCUGCAGGUCGGAAAAAAAUUAGGUAUUGAAAAUCUCUUAAUUUUGCCCCUGCAAAUUUUCAAUCUUUCCAAUGAGCUCUUUAGUGUUUCAGGACAUGUGCUAUGAAUUGAUUACAUUUGAUAAUAGAUCUGAAGAAACUGUGAAUGUGAUUGUAUUAGAAGAGGGGCAGUGAUGUAGUGUCGGCAUAGGGAGAACAUAAAAAAAUAGCUUAUCUUUUAAAGCUGGCAAUUAAUUUCAGGAUUUGCCCUUUGCUAGAACAUAAUGGCAUCUUUUCCACACGUGGCUGCAGUCUUCAAAAACUGAGUGGAUCACUGAAAUGUACAUUAUUAUAGACUGUGAUGAGAUGAAGUUUCUACUUUUUGAGAGGAAUUUCCCUGAUGAAUCCUUUGUUAAUGUUCAGUUACAGGUAGUGGCAUCAUUGCUGAGAAUAAGUAUACCAAUAUGGAGUGCUAAAGGGGGUAACUAAUUUCUGCUUUUGUGUGAUUGUGUUUGUGUAAGUACUGUAUAAAUUUUUACAUAUUAAUUGAAAUGCCUGUAUGUUGUGUAUGUUUGUAUUGUAUAUUUUUUGAGUAAGGCAUAAACAAAUACGUACUAUCAUGUAGGAAUUAAUUAUAUUCAGUAGGUUUUAUCAUAUUAAAAAUCAAGAAAGUUAUUGUAUGUUAAAAAGUUCUAAGUAUUUGGUAACUUGCAUGCAUAUUACUUGGCUGGAAACUCUGCUAAUAAUCUCUCUUUCCCCCUCCCAAAUUGAUUGAAAGAUAAUAGCUUAUUGCUGUUGAUUGAACUAAGAUUAUUCAAGUUCGACAUUGGAUAGAGUUGACUGCCUGUAUUACUUUGUUGAGAUUAUAUUGAAAAUUAUAUAGAUUCAUGUGAAGAACAAAAGACAAGUUUGUUUUUAUGUUGUUAUUUGUUAAGUGUUAAUUGACUAAUGUACCAAAAUCCUAAGUUUAUAUUUAAGGAGUCUACAUCAUGUCAAGUGCUGUAAGGUAUACCAGUCUUGUGCAGUGUCUGUGUCUGUGAUGUGGUACCAGGCUGUAUUGCAUUUUGGUAACUAAAAGGAUUAGUGAAUUUGUAGUAUUGAUUUACAAAGAAGUCCAUUACUGUAUAGUAUAUGUGGCAUAAACAUCCGUAACUAAUCCAGUACAGUACAGUACUGUAAUAGCUUCUAAAAAAUGUUUGCACUGACUAUACGGUGAACAGAUUGUUUACGUAAUAAUGUUUGUUUCCCGGAUACAGUAACAUGGAAAAUUCUGUAGAUGUGUUCAUGUCUCAAAAGUGAAGGAGUAACAUUCCAGAUGUGGUAAAAAUUUACAGUAUCCUAUAUUUACAAUUAGAAAAAUGUGGGACAGGUAGCAAAGAUCUUUAACGACAUCCAUGCAGCACUAUGUCACGGCAGAGUAGACGAUGGAGUUUCAACAAAAAUUUUAUGCCUUUAACGUUACACUCAUUGAUCCAGUCUGUGUUUACAGUAGAGUUUUGUACACCGAAUCGUCUCAUAAGAUGUAAAUACAGAAACUAACACAAAUAGUAUAGUUCUACAGAAAUAGUGUGGAAUGAAAUAUUUAACCUGUUGUGUAUGGCCUCUCCUCUGAACUGAAUAAUAUCAUCUGGUGUUCACCAAAUGAAAUAUUAAAAGGGGCAUCCCCCAUAGUGAAGGGGCUAAUGAACUGUAUACGGUAGUGUAAAAUACAGUUAGAAGAUGGUGUAACCAUAAACUUCACAUCCAAGUUCGAUAGGUUGUGAAAAUCUUUGUGCAGAUUUAUCCUCUUCGUCACAGUGAUGUAUUCAGUCCAUCAUAAGAUCCUCAGAGUCGCAGAUGGUGAAGUUCGUGGUACAUCAAAAUUAACCUGGAUGUAAUAGGAGAAGAGCCAGGUUUGGUGUAUCUGCCUAGUAUAUGCUGCUGUGAGCAAUAAUACCCCUCUCAGUCAAUGGUGCUCGGCUCAACCAAUGACAUCAUAGUCUCCUGUGGGUGCUUCCAUUGUUCCACCACAGUCUCCCAUUGCCCUUAGAAUUGGAAGGAUAUAUAGUGUGACAUCUUACAAUUUUGAGGUAGAAAUGGUAGAAUCACAGGAUAUUAUUAGUGGUGUAGAAUAUAAUCCCAACCAGGAACACCUUGACAGUGAACCUUUGUCACAGGACAGCAUAGAGAGUAAGGAGGAGCAUGAAGUUUGAGGCAGCUGGACUCUUAUGAGUGACUUGUUUCAUGAUGUAAAACCUAAUCUGAAGACACUGUUCUCAUGUAGAAUAUUCAGGAAUAUAUUCUGCCUUCGAUGCAAAUACAUUUUCCACUGUAGAUGAUACAUUCCAGUUAUUUUUUGACCAAGCAUUAGUGUCUACCAUGUGUCAGUGGGUAAAUAUGAGAGCGGAUAUAAGUGUCACUGAACAUCUUCAAUGGAGGGGAAGAGUGAAUAGUUUAAUUUGGAAUUAAGUUAAUGUAGUUGACAUGUACACUAUUGUUAGCCUUCUCUUUGUCGCAGGGUUUGUCAGGAAGAAACUGUGGAGGGAAUAACUAAUCUUCAGAUGACAGAGUUUCUCAGGCAACGAGUCACAAAUACAGUACAGUAGAGUAUGAACACUUUCAGCACUGUACAAUGAAUGUAUUGUUUGCGCAUAUAAUAUACAUGUUCUGUACAGGACAUAAAUAUUUGUCUUGAAUAUAAUUUCCAAGUGCCCGGGAGGGUGGAAAAAUUAUAUUACCUGUACCGAUAAAUAUUGUGAAUGGUGAUGUGUGACGGCUGGCCAAGAUAAAGUGGUUUAUGUUCAUUUUACUCAUCACAUUAUAUUCUCAAAUACGUACAACACAUCUGGCCCAUGAAGUGCUCCGUGGAUGUUGUGAGGAGGACCUUUAAACUCUAUUGUGGUUAUCAGUACUGUUCAUGUCUCUCUAAGUGUGGAUAUUCUGUAUUACAUUUAAGAAAUGUCAUUUACUCUCAUAUGGAUUUAAGUACGGUACUCAUUGCUCAAAACUUACAUGAAGGCAGUUUAGGUAGCGGCUGCUCUGAUGAAUAAUCCACUCUAGAAAAGGAAUAUUAGAUUAUCCCAGAAUACACAGGUAAUACUUUGUGGUAUUGGAUAGUCUUGUCUUUUCAGUGCUCUGUAUUCUAGUCAUAUAUUAAGACUUCACAUUUAGUCGAUAUUCAGGAGCGUUAUCAGAUCUGUGUAUGGUUAGAUAUUUGUGGAAAAAUCCUCUUAUGCCUCUAUAUAGUGCACUGAUAUCUGUUGAUCCAUGAACACGUAGGGAUUGAGCAAUUGGACACAGUUUUAGGCAGCAUUUGUGGAUAUUUGAUACAAGAGAUAUCUUGGCAGCAUGAGUUUUUGUUGUUAUGAAAGUGAUCAACAUCAGAAUGUGGUUGAAUUUUCUGAAGCAUAUAAUUACUUAAUAUAGUGAACUACAAUAGAUCAGUGAUUUGAAAGUAUGGUGUAAAAAAUUGUGCAGUAUAUAUAUUGGCUACAGUGAUAGGUGACUUAGUACAGGUGCUACUGAUCUUGAUAUGGAACUUCCCAAAUGAAAGUAGAAAUAUAUUGACAUGAUUGAAAAGUCUUUGUGCAGGUCUUGGGUCACUAUUGAGAGUGCUUGUUUCUGGUUGACUUGACUGCUGUGACUCUUCAUAUUUACCAUCUUCUGAAAAAUACUGUAUAAACAUUGGAACAUCACCUAGUAGUGUACAGUACAUGUUCUAAGUCCAUAUUGGUCAAGUUAUAAGACUACCUUCUAAACACUGCCAGUACAGUACAGUAUUGUAUGUUUUGGAUUAACCUUCAGGUACAGUAGUUGGAACAUCAAGUAAUCAUUGCACACAUUUAGCUUAGCUUAUUAUGUACACUUGGUGAGUCCCAUAGAAAAUUGACUUUAUUGAGUUCCUGUAAUAAUUCCUUAAAGUUAAGCAGUAUUGUUCAAAUAUCAAAAUAAUGAUGAUACUCUGUAGUCUUGUGGAGCACUAAGGCAUGCAGGCAGCCUUACAACUAUAUGAAGAUUAUAAACUUUCACUAUUAGUGUGCAUUCGAGUUGUUCACAAGUAACAAUCACAAGGCUUCUAAUUUAUAGGUAAAAUCUCAUUACAGGGUAUUAUUAAAAUGAUAGUUUCUUUAUUUUUGAAGGGAAUAUCCUGUUGAAAUACUGAAUACAGUGCUGUACUGGCAAUGUUUAAAAGGUAGCUGCUUAUAUAAUAGAAUAUUUUGACCCUUAAGGUCAAGCCAAACUUCCAAGUCAGGAAAUUAGUUUAAGUGCACCAGUGAACCCCUGAGUGUAUAGUAGCCUGUAUGUGAUAUCCUUGAUAAAUUUCAGGCUAAUGAUUUCGAGUUGCAGAUGUAAAAGUCUCUUUGACUUAUGAUGCUUUAGUUUAGCUGUGGAUGGUGACUACAUUUAGGUGAAUUGUAUAUACAUGUUUAGUUUGUCUCAGAGUAUAGUGCAUGUGAUCUUUAUGAGGAUGUGGUUGCAGUUUUUAUGAUUUUUAUAAGAAUACACGAGCAGUCAGAUUGUCCUCAGCUACGAUUGUUUACUCUAAACUUAAUCAGUUCUUGAGAUGGAAACUUUCAAUGUUGUUUGUUGAUGUUUAUAUAACAAUUUAAUAUGAUUUUUAAAUAAAUGGAUACUUUAAUAAGCUAAUCUUUAUACACUAUUGUGGAUGGCAUAUUUGUAAAUACUAAUGUGGCAAAUAUCCAGUUUACAUUUCAAGUUUGAAUUCUUUAAUAUCAUUGUUCAUCUGAGCAGCUCCAUAUACAAACAUUCUUUGUCAGGAAAAACUGUGCAUUCUUCAGUGUGCUUGGGAAUUAUUCAUAAGUUGUAUAUAAGGUGGUAUCAUCUGUCAUAUCCUCUUGAUAUCUAAACUAUGCUUGCCGAGGGGUUUAAUUCUUUACAUGUGUAAUGUGAAUUGGCAUCCUGCUAGUUUGAUGACCAAUGUCACAGUAAAUUAAACAUCGUCUCUAAUGAGGUGAAAUUGUAGCAGGACAUGAAUGAAAACUAAGUGUCAGUGAGCUUAUACUCCUGCUUCCACAUGUUUUAUUACAAUUUUGCUUUGAUGAUAUAUUAUGAAAUGCACUCAAGAGUUUGAGCAUUUAUUGAAAAUAGAUCAAAUUACUCUUGCUAUUAAAUGUUUUACAUUUUUCUCUGAUCUAGAGUUCUGCUCAGCACAUUUGGCAAAGCACUAUUGGCCCUUUGAUAAGUGGAGUUGGUUGCUAAACACUGUUAAGCUCCAGGGUAUAGGUAUACCUAUACUGUACUGUACUCUGUUUCCUCCUGUGAUGAUGCCACUGUGGUGAUGGUUUAAGUGUUUGGAUGAUUGCUGUAAAUGCUUGAAAACUCUGAUUAAUGUAGUUUUCUUGAGCUGUAUCCAGUAACUCAUGUUCCUGGUUUAAUGUGAGGUGCUCAGUGUAUAAUCUCCUGGUUAUUUGUUUCUCUAUAUUUUGUGAACCUUUUUCUGUACUGACGGCAGGAGAGUGUGUGCAGAAUCUCACUGAACACUUUCUCACGUGAUUGAUUGUCUUCACAUCUUUAAAUGCCAAAGACUUUACCCUAAUUUUCCUUUUUUUUUUAAGACAUCCUUUCAUGAGCUUAAGUACAAAAAGUACAGCUGCCUUGGCAGAAUUAAAAUUAUUUACAAGUUAAUGUAAAUUAUAUCUGGUAAAACAAAAAUAAAAUGGUAUGAUAUCAAUGUCAGAAUAGAUGAGUUUGAAAUUAAUCAUAUUAUAUAUCAGUGAAUAUAAUAUGUUCAUCUUGUGGCUAUUUUUCUGUUUUUGACCUGGAAAAGCACAAAGCAUUAUUAUAUUAUACAUUAUUAUAGACCUUGCACAAUACAUGCAAUUCAUAAUUGCUAUUGCACAGGAUUUAAAAAAGAUGCCAAGGAAUUGCAUGGAAGUUAUUGUUACAAGAAUGAAUUCUUUAUGGAGAAAAUUUAUGCUCUUUCUGAUAUUUGAAGAGCAAUAAAGCACUGUUUAUUGUUUAAUGAGUUAGUUAAUAUAUUUUUGUCCAAAGGCAUCCUGUGAGUCUCUUGGCUUGAUCAUGGCAUUAAUGAGGCUUGUUACUUCUUAUACUGUUUGUCAGAGGAGUGGUUGUCAGUGCUGUACUGUAUCCACUUUACCCUUCAUUAAUCAUAUGUGCUCCACUCAAAAUAAAAUGAAAGAUAAUUUUGUAAUACUGUAGUACUUUAACUCAUAUACAUUACCUGUCCAGCUGUAAGAGUAGCCAUAACUCGUAACCAAAUAAGAACAGCAGGGGAAUAGAUGCAACAAGUCGCACAAACUUUUGAGGUUUCAAUGCUGUCAUGGGGGAUAUUAUUGUUGAUAAGCUCCACAGUCACAUGGUGUCAUGCAUACUUUGUUUCACUUUAUGACAUACAGUACACACAGGUUUAGUAAGUUCUAUUAAUUAAGACCCAAUCCCCAAAUUUAUUGAUGAAUAUGUACUGUAUACAGUAUACUGUACUGUACACAAUACAUCUACCCUUUAUAGUACUGUACAGUACUGUAAAUAGUAACUGGAGUGUGAUAAUGAUUCUGCAUGGGUCCUCCUCCUUGAAGUGCAGGAAGAGGUACAUUGGGUAUUUAUGGUUAAAUAUGGACCAUUUUCAACCAGAUUCAAACAAAAUACUGUAUUGAGUAUUUAUGAUAUGGAAAUUUUCAGCCUUAUCUUGUAUGGUCUCUGCUUUUCUUCAAUAUUUAUAUGUCAAUUCUGAAAUAAGUAUAAGAUGUACUGCCGUAAGGAGGUGCCAUAUAAUAAAUGAUUAUGAUUAUGUGACUAUAAAUGUAGUGUAAUGUUACUGUGUGUUGAUCAUAAAAGAUAAGAGAUGUCACAUUCCAGACCAGGCAGCUGCUGGUGCUUAUAGAGGCUGGUGAGGAUACCAUGGUCAAAGUUCUUUCAAUGUGUGCCAUCAAGAACAAGUUUCUCUAUCGUUGAUUUUGUAGUAAGACUUAACAAUUCUCUUCAUUCUAGGUUAUACUGUAUGGUGAUGGUUGAAGCUUCUUAUCUUGACCAACUUAGAUUAAUGUAUUCUCUACUUAAGAAAGAAGAGUUUUAUCUGUUGAGUACUGAUAACUGUUGCUGUAGAGGAUGUAUAAGAGUAUGCAUAACAUGACAAUUGUUAUUGUUUAAAAAAAUUAAUUAGACAUAUGUUUUAUAGUUAAUAUUUUAUAGUACUGCAGUCAUGUGUGGAUGCUUUGUCUUGUAAGGUAAAAAUGUCACUCAAUUAAUGUUCAGAGCCGAAUAUGAGAAACCAGGAAGUAGAUAUGAAUUAGCUGCUGGGUGCAAGAGCUAUACUGUCAUAUGUAUAUAAAUUUGAUGUUCUCAGCCUGUACAUCAAGUGUUCUGAUUUGGUAUUUGAUGAGCAGCUGUUUGAUAGAAGGUCUGUACAGUAUAAUGUGGUGAUUCCUGAACUUCUUUCUCAAACUUAAAUUGUUAGGGACGGUGAACAUCAUGUGCAUCUAUCUGAGGAUGUCUUUUUAAGCUUCAACUGUUUUACUAAGGUUGUUAUUAUAUAAUUAUUGUGUAAUUGAUUCAUACACAUUAAUCAUUUAACUCUUGGAAAGCACAAGGUGACAACUAACCAUACAGUGUACAGUAUAUUAGCUCCAAGGCCCAGGAAGACCCAUAGAUUUAGAAUGAUCACCCAAAUACACAAAUGUGACAAGUUGUAACUCAACAGAAAAAUCUAUAUUCUUAAACAUUAAAUUUAUAUUGUACUAUCACUUAAGUAGUGAUUGAUUUUACUCAUCUUAAUAUAAUCAGAUCAAUGCAGGGGGCUUUUGUGAUUUAUGAAUUCAAGAUAAGAAGUUUCAAAUGAUUACUUCUGUGAGAAGUACUGUACGUACUGUACAGUACUGUACUGUGUUUAGGUACUGUAGAUUAUUAAACAUUUCUAACUUGUGCAAUAAUUUUUACAGCUUUUUUAGGAAUAUCUCUCUAUGUAGUGAGUUGGCCAGUCUAAAACACUCAUGAAAUUGGAAAGAAAAUGUUUCUUUGCUGUUCUACCUCUGACUUAGACUGGUUCCUGAGACACCAGGCAACAACAUCAUGCUAACCUGCUAGCCCUCCCCCUCUGUAGUGUUCAUCUUGAGAGUGGGCCUGUAGGUAGACUGUUUCCAGGCAUAUGUGACUUACUUAUGAGACCUGAUGUGUAACAGAUGGAUUUUUUUUUUUAUGGCGAGAGUAGAGUUCAUAUUGAUCCUUUUAGGAAGGCACAUAUUUGCUGGUUUUUCAUCAGUAAUUAACUUAUAAGUACAAGAUGAGGUUUCCAGUGAUGACAAGUGCCAGAACAGUGUUCCCAGGUAGCAGCUUUAUGUGACAGUAAGAGAGCGAGAUAAACAGCUUGUGUGGUACAAGAACCAAGUUGUUAAAUAUUCUGUCAGUGGUGUAUUUUUCUUUUGUGUAGUUAGUUUAUAUUCAAAAUUACUGAAUAGGGAAUAUCAUCAUUUACUGUGAAGAAUUUGUCAUGUUUGACUUAGAAUAAUAUUGGUGCCUGUAUUAUAGGGAUUGUCAGAUGUUUGACAUGAGAAAAUAUUGGUGCCUUUAUUAUAAGACUUGUCAAUAAGUUCAGUACGUAUGUCUUAGAUACCAAAGUCUACAGCUUAGGUUCUGUACGACCACUGAAGCUGUCAUGUUGUAGAGUUGGUGGUUGUGUGUAAAUGUGGCGGACAAGGUAGCAUUUAUGUUUUAUGCUGCUUUUACACGACAUGCUCAUGACAACAUUUAAUGCCAAAUAAAUUUUUUUAGUCA
This 11302-nucleotide unclassified non-coding RNA is filed under the name Homarus americanus (American lobster). RNAcentral describes it as "sH2B adapter protein 1-like, transcript variant X11". The record is from RNAcentral. Lineage: Eukaryota; Metazoa; Arthropoda; Malacostraca; Decapoda; Nephropidae.